ACAGUAGUUUGCCCAUUGGUU
Molecule: microRNA, 21 nt
Filed under: Ovis aries (sheep)
Lineage: Eukaryota; Metazoa; Chordata; Mammalia; Artiodactyla; Bovidae
Description: microRNA miR-199a-3p
Source: RNAcentral